This 465-nucleotide ribosomal RNA is filed under the name uncultured bacterium. RNAcentral describes it as "partial 16S ribosomal RNA". It matches the Rfam family "Bacterial small subunit ribosomal RNA", at positions 338 to 795 of the family's 1533-position model. The record is from RNAcentral.
CCUACGGGAGGCAGCAGUAGGGAAUCUUCCACAAUGGGCGAAAGCCUGAUGGAGCAACGCCGCGUGGGUGAAGAAGGUCUUCGGAUCGUAAAACCCUGUUGUUAGAGAAGAAAGUGCGUGCGAGUAACUGUUCACGUUUCGACGGUAUCUAACCAGAAAGCCACGGCUAACUACGUGCCAGCAGCCGCGGUAAUACGUAGGUGGCAAGCGUUAUCCGGAUUUAUUGGGCGUAAAGGGAACGCAGGUGGUUUUUUAAGUCUGAUGUGAAAGCCUUCGGCUUAACCGGAGUAGUGCAUUGGAUACUGGGAGACUUGAGUGCAGAAGAGGAGAGUGGAACUCGUUGUGUAGCGGUGAAAUGCUUAGAUAUAUGGAAGAACCCCAGUGGCGAAAGCAGCUCUCUGGUCUGUAACUGACGCUGAGGUUCGAAAGCGUGGGUAGCAAACAGGAUUAGAUACCCGAGUAGUC